AUAAUUUUUCAGGGCGGGGCGAAAAUCCCCACCGGUGGUAUAGCCCACGAGCCUUUUGGCAUGAUUUGGUGAGAUUCCAAAGCCGACAGUAUAGUCUGGAUGUGAGAAGAAUUUA
Molecule: regulatory RNA element, 115 nt
Organism: Roseburia sp. CAG:303
Lineage: Bacteria; Bacillati; Bacillota; Clostridia; Lachnospirales; Lachnospiraceae
Rfam family: FMN riboswitch aptamer (RFN element)
About the family: The RFN element is a highly conserved domain that is found frequently in the 5'-untranslated regions of prokaryotic mRNAs that encode for flavin mononucleotide (FMN) biosynthesis and transport proteins. This element is a metabolite-dependent riboswitch that directly binds FMN in the absence of proteins. In Bacillus subtilis, the riboswitch most likely controls gene expression by causing premature transcription termination within the 5' untranslated region of the ribDEAHT operon and precluding access to the ribosome-binding site of ypaA mRNA.
Source: Rfam